UAUCACAUCUGCAUUGUUUCAAUUCAAUAUUCAAUAAUGACCAAUUGACCACAACAACAAUUUGGAUUGUUGUAAGCCAACCGUAUAUAUAUCAUCUUUUUCAUACGCAGUAAAAGCCCAAAUUCUGAAAGAGAAGACAUUUGUAUGUUACUCAGUAUAUACCUCUUUACGAAAGCCAUUUUUAGAAACUUCAUCAGUCCAUGUGAGUUUCCCAUCUUUUAUAUAUUGAACUUGAAUAGAAUUUAUCAUCAUGCCGUAGUAGAUAAUAAUUUUUAUUAGCCCAUUGUAGCCACUCUGAUCGAUGGAUCGUUUGAAAUUGAUUUGGGGAUUUCGUUAAAGCUUGCUGUCGUCGGGUUUCAUCAUCAGAUCACGGAACAUUUGAUGAUCUGUGGAUGCAGUGGAGUGUAGUUGAGGCUGAAGGAAGCAUCGAGCAUCGGUUGGCCGAUCCCUGAUGGAUUUUGGGAGAGAUUUGGGGAAAGGAAUAUCUGAUGGAGAGAUUUAUCACGGUUUCGGGAUUUCGGAAUAUCUGAUGAUCUUUGCUUGCUUUCUCUACGAUUCGGAAAAUGUAAGUUAUUAUUAUUACUCUCUAUUUCUAUUUUAACCAUCAAUCUGCCAAGUGCCAACGCAUAUUUGAGAUUUCGUACUAAAAAAUGGGCAGUAUUAAAAUAGGAACAUAAAAUGACAUAUACAACAAGUGCAGUGUAAAAUGGCAACCCUUUGUUAAACCUAAUGGAUCACCUAAUAAAUUAAAUUUUAGCAUGCUUUAGAAGCUGCUUUCUACAAAGAAAUGAAUGAUGAGCCAAUAAGUGGAUUGGUAUUGGCUGGGUUAAAUUUAUUUUAUAUAUGAUAGUUCUGAUUCCAGUUUUGAAAUAUUGCUUUCAAUUAAUACAUGAUAGUGAAAUUUUUGCUAGCUAUAUAGAUCUUCUAAUUCUCAAAAUUACUAAAACAUCAAGAAGAGCAUUCUAAAUAGUCAACAGACACACCAAAGAGAAAAUCAUAACUAUUCCAACACAUCAUAUAUUAAGAGUAUUGAGUUGGGCAUUUAGAAAGAAAUUGCCCUGGCAAACAGAAUUUCAAGGCUUAUUCUGUUGAAUAUACUUAUGAUUAAUUACUCAUUGGCCAAAUUCUGGGAGAGUUUCGACUCUAUCUUAAACACAUGGAUAAAAGAUAGAUAUAUCAAAGGAAUUUCCCUUAACAACAUCCAGAUCAGAAGCUCCAUUCACUCUCACUUCUGGAAAUAUGCGAUGGGGGCCAGGGCAAAGGAAGGUGCUCGGGUGGAAUGGAAGCUCAAGCAGGAAUCUUUCAAUUAAAAAAAAAAUUAAAGAGAAACUUAAUUGAUUAAAAUAAAAUCUCUCACUGACGACAUAUCAUAUUAAUCAUCUCAAGGACUAUUUAAAUUUUAAACUAAUAUGAGUCAAUAAGCACUUCUUUUGACAUCAUGAAAUUAUGAGGACCAUUUUUUUUUAUGAAUUAAAACUUUCAUUUCUGAAAAUUAGGUUUGGGCAGUGCGCCAUUGUGCCAGAGGAUAUCGAUGCAGUGAUGGAUGGUAAAUAAAUUAAUGAUUUGUUUUGCAAUUUAUUAUUUAAAUUUCCUUUGUUUUUUCUAACAGAGAGAACACAUGGAGAUAUGCUGCUUUGGCCGACUGUUUCUUUCAUAUAUCUAACGAGGCUUCAAGGAGGGAAGGAAGCAUCGACAUCAUGUAUCAAUGCAUCAGAUAGAUAAUACAGGUUUCACAAGCUAGCUUUUAAGAUUACCCAAUACCGAAGGUCUGCCGCAUAUCUAUUUGCUUUCUCUAUGGCGUCAUGCUAAAGAAUGGGAAAACU
Molecule: long non-coding RNA, 1823 nt
Filed under: Zostera marina
Lineage: Eukaryota; Viridiplantae; Streptophyta; Magnoliopsida; Alismatales; Zosteraceae
Description: long non-coding RNA (ZMAR_LNC005933)
Source: RNAcentral